CGGGUGCACUGAUCCGGCCGGGCCUUUCCCUCUGUGGAACCCCAUGGCCUUCACUGGCUGUGCGGGGGAAACAGGACUUUUACUGUGAAAAAAUUAGAGUGCUCCAGGCAGGCCUAUGCUCGAAUACAUUAGCAUGGAAUAAUAGAAUAGGACGCGUGGUUCUAUUUUGUUGGUUUCUAGGACCGCCGUAAUGAUUAAUAGGGACAGUCGGGGGCAUCAGUAUUCAAUUGUCAGAGGUGAAAUUCUUGGAUCAAUUGAAGACUAACUACUGCGAAAGCAUUUGCCAAGGAUGUUUUCAUUGAUAAGGAACGAAAGUUAGGGGAUCGAAGACGAUCAGAUACCGUCGUAGUCUUAACUAUAAACUAUGCCGACUAGGGAUCGGACGAUGUUAUUUCUUGACGCGUUCGGCACCUUUCGAGAAAUCAAAGUGCUUGGGCUCCAGGGGGAGUAUGGUCGCAAGGCUGAAACUUAAAGAAAUUGACGGAAGGGCACCACCAGGGGUGGAACCUGCGGCUUAAUUUGACCCAACACGGGGAAACUCACCAGGUCCAGACACAGUGAGGAUUGACAGAUUGAGAGCUCUUUCUUGAUUCUGUGGGUGGUGGUGCAUGGCCGUUCUUAGUUGGUGGAGUGAUUUGUCUGCUUAAUUGCGAUAACGAACGAGACCUUAACCUGCUAAAUAGCCCGUACUGCUCUGGCAGUUCGCCGGCUUCUUAGAGGGACUAUCGG
This 729-nucleotide ribosomal RNA is filed under the name uncultured eukaryote. Its description in RNAcentral is "SSU rRNA". It matches the Rfam family "Eukaryotic small subunit ribosomal RNA", at positions 670 to 1426 of the family's 1831-position model. The record is from RNAcentral.